UAGCCCCUCUUAUGGUGCUACAUAAGUGUAGAAAGAAGUUAAAAGAGAUUAGUCUCUAUUAAUUUUGUAUUGUAGUGGUUAUACCCAUAUUUAUGUAGCUACAGAACAUACAGAGUGAGAGAGGAGAGAGUGAGAUGACUUGCAUGACCUUUUGUACAUACUGAGAGAGAGUGAGCGAAAGAGAGAGCCAAUGGUCAGUUCUGGCUAGCGUGAGUAAGGGUCAGCUGGUCCUUAUUCCCAGAAAAUAAUGACGUGAAUGUCAUGAAUGACGUAGUAGUAUUUUGGGGAAAAGUUGAUGGACUCUUCCAUCUCUGCUACCCUAAAGGGGUCAGCAAUUAUUAGUUACUGUUUUUUGUUUGUUAAAAGAGAUGACCAAGGAUCAACAAGUAUUUCUAGUUAUAAACAUACACACCCCUUCCCAAAAAUAAUGGUAUUGUCGAAAAUACCUUUAUAUAGAACUACUGGAGGCAUCCUCUUCACAACUUUUGAGAUGGAGAGAGAGCAUCUUCCUCCAGACAUCACUUUUCAAUAAUUUCCGUAUUUUCCUGAUUCUCAGGUAAGAUCCAAAGUCAUCCUUCCAUAUUUCAGUUUUAAGAUAAUUUAAGAACUGAUCUUAUAGAUUUAUUUUUGAAUGUUAAGUUACUUUUCCAAAAUUGUCUUUUACACAUUUGACUUUUUAUCAAUCUUUGAUUGAAUAAUAUUUUAAAGUUUAGUUUGAUAUAUCUGAUGAUAGAUACUAUUCUAUAAUCUACAUCUUAUUGAAUGUUUGAAUUUCUUAUAAUUGUUACUAACCAUCUACGAUUAUUGUUCAUGGUAAAGCACUUGUUAUUUAUGUUUGUCUAGCAGCGCGAGCAUGGUGCGAGUUUUAUAUAGUUGAGCCUUUUGAACUUUGCGAAUUACAAAUUUUAAGCAAGUCGCGAAUCCAAAACAACUAAACGGUAUUAUUCUGGUCAAGCAGAUAGGCUGAGUUCCCUAUCUUGCCGCGUUAAUACUGUGCGGACUCUAAUGUAUCUGAUUAAAGACUUUCCUGAAUAUCAUUGUGCUAAACCAUUCUAUUUUAUUGUUUUGAUAUUAUGUUACUGUAAAACCAUUUACUAAUCCUAGUUGAUAUAAAAAUAUUUGAGAUGAAGUUUGAUAUUUAAUAUUAGAAAUAUUUAAUCAAGUUUUGAUUAAAUCAUACACAACUUUUGAGAUGGAGAGAGAGCAUCUUCCUCCAGACAUCACUUUUCAAUAAUUUCCGUAUUUUCCUGAUUCUCAGGUAAGAUCCAAAGUCAUCCUUCCAUAUUUCAGUUUUAAGAUAAUUUAAGAACUGAUCUUAUAGAUUUAUUUUUGAAUGUUACUUUUCCAAAAUUGUCUUUCACACAUUUGGCUUAUUAUCAAUCUUCGAUUGGAUAAUAUUUUAAAGAUUAGAUUUACAUAACUGAUGAUAGAUAUUAUUCUAUAAUCUACUUCUUAUUGAAUGUUUGAAUUUCUUAUAAUUGUUACUAACCAUCUAUGAUUAUUGUUCAUGGUAAAGCACUUGUUAUUUAUGUUUGUCUAGCAGCGCGAGCAUGGUGCGAGUUUUAUAUAGUUGAGCCUUUUGAACUUUGCGAAUUACAAAUUUUAAGCAAGUCGCGAAUCCAAAACAACUAAACGGUAUUAUUCUGGUCAAGCAGAUAGGCUGAGUUCCCUAUCUUGCCGCGUUAAUACUGUGCGGACUCUAAUGUAUCUGAUUAAAGACUUUCCUGAAUAUCAUUGUGCUAAACCAUUCUAUUUUAUUGUUUUGAUAUUAUGUUACUGUAAAACCAUUUACUAAUCCUAGUUGAUAUGAAAAUAUUUGAGAUGAAGUUUGAUAUUUAAUAUUAGAAAUAUUUAAUCAAGUUUUGAUUAAAUCAUACACAACUUUUGAGAUGGAGAGAGAGCAUCUUCCUCCAGACAUCACUUUUCAAUAAUUUCCGUAUUUUCCUGAUUCUCAGGUCACUGGUCGUCUGACCAUGAACAGCUUCUACAUUCUAUAUAUUUCUGCACUGAGACCCUCAAAGUCAUUAUGUUAGUCUUACUAUCAGUAGUUGUUUGACAACUGUUUUAAAGUUAUGUCCAGUUAAGUAAAUUUUAAGUAUAAUUUGAACUAUAUGUUCAUACCUGUUCAAGUAACUAUGUAACUAGGAGUUACAACAUUUUUAACUGUAAAUAUCAUGUAUAUAAUGUUAAUCUAGUUUAGAAUUAAAGGAACAUAUAUCCUUUAUAUAAUGAGUAUGUUAGUUUAUUUUAUCGAGUAUUAUGAUUUACAUUAAUUAAUAACAUAGUGUGAAUGUUGUUGAUUGAUGGUGUUUGAUUAUGUGAUGUGUGAUUAUUACAUAUUAAAAUAAUUACAACCUAAUAGUGUUUUAUUUAAGUUCUACCUCUGUAGACGGACAGGGUGGGGAUUCUUCGUUUAAAAACCCUUCCGCUGCACUGUUCUGUUA
Long non-coding RNA from Lytechinus variegatus (green sea urchin), 2444 nucleotides. RefSeq lists it as uncharacterized. Lineage: Eukaryota; Metazoa; Echinodermata; Echinoidea; Temnopleuroida; Toxopneustidae. The transcript has 2 exons. The record is from RefSeq and is a predicted model, not a curated record.